GUCCACGCUGUAAACGAUGUCUGCUAGCCGUUGGGAUCCUUGAGGUCUCGGUGGCGCAGCUAACGCGAUAAGCAGACCGCCUGGGGAGUACGGCCGCAAGGUUAAAACUCAAAUGAAUUGACGGGGCCGCACAAGCGGUGGAGCAUGUGGUUUAAUUCGAUGCAACGCGAAGAACCUUACCACCCCUUGACAUCCAGAGAACUGCCCAGAGAUGGGCGGGUGCCUUCGGGAGCUCUGAGACAGGUGCUGCAUGGCUGUCGU
Molecule: ribosomal RNA, 261 nt
Filed under: uncultured bacterium
Lineage: Bacteria
Description: partial 16S ribosomal RNA
Rfam family: Bacterial small subunit ribosomal RNA
Source: RNAcentral